Molecule: ribosomal RNA, 440 nt
Filed under: uncultured bacterium
Lineage: Bacteria
Description: partial 16S ribosomal RNA
Rfam family: Bacterial small subunit ribosomal RNA
Source: RNAcentral
CUACGGGCGGCUGCAGUAGGGAAUAUUGGACAAUGGGUGAAAGCCUGAUCCAGCAACACCGCGUGCACGAUGACGGCCUUCGGGUUGUAAAGUGCUUUUAGAGGAGAUGAGAAAGGACAGUAUCCUCUGAAUAAGCCUCGGCGAACUACGUGCCAGCAGCCGCGGUAAAACGUAGGAGGCAAGCGUUAUCCGGAUUUAUUGGGCGUAAAGCGCGUGCAGGCGGUCUAGCAAGUUGGAUGUGAAAGCUCCCGGCUCAACUGGGAGAGGUCGUUCAAUACUGUUAGACUAGAGAAUAGGAGAGGGAGGUGGAAUUCCGGGUGUAGUGGUGAAAUGCGUAGAUAUCCGGAGGAACACCAGUGGCGAAAGCGGCCUCCUGGACUAUUUCUGACGCUAAGACGCGAAAGCUAGGGUAGCAAACGGGAUUAGAUACCCUGGUAGUC